GCGGAAAUAGCUCAGUUGGUAGAGCACAACCUUGCCAAGGUUGGGGUCGCGAGUUCGAGUCUCGUUUUCCGC
Molecule: transfer RNA, 72 nt
Filed under: Hoylesella loescheii
Lineage: Bacteria; Pseudomonadati; Bacteroidota; Bacteroidia; Bacteroidales; Prevotellaceae
Also listed under: 5 other names
Description: tRNA-Gly(gcc)
Rfam family: tRNA
About the family: Transfer RNA (tRNA) molecules are approximately 80 nucleotides in length.
Source: RNAcentral